This 74-nucleotide transfer RNA is filed under the name Planctomycetota bacterium. Its description in RNAcentral is "Planctomycetes bacterium (soil metagenome) tRNA-Gln". It matches the Rfam family "tRNA". From Rfam's summary of the family: Transfer RNA (tRNA) molecules are approximately 80 nucleotides in length. The record is from RNAcentral. RNAcentral also lists the same sequence under 1 other name. Lineage: Bacteria; Pseudomonadati; Planctomycetota.
UGGGGUAUCGUCUAACGGUAGGACUGCAGACUCUGACUCUGCCUGUCGGGGUUCGAAUCCCUGUACCCCAACCA